GUGGGGAAUAUUGGGCAAUGGGCGCAAGCCUGACCCAGCAACGCCGCGUGAGGGAAGAAGGUUUUCGGAUUGUAAACCUCUGUCGCAGAUGACGAAGGAAGUGACGGUAAUCUGUGAGGAAGCCCCGGCUAACUACGUGCCAGCAGCCGCGGUAAUACGUAGGGGGCGAGCGUUGUCCGGAAUUACUGGGCGUAAAGGGAGCGUAGGCGGUCGAUUAAGUUGGAUGUGAAAUACCCGGGCUUAACUUGGGGGGUGCAUCCAAUACUGGUUGACUAGAGUACAGGAGAGGAAAGCGGAAUUCCUAGUGUAGCGGUGAAAUGCAUAGAUAUUAGGAGGAACAUCGGUGGCGAAGGCGGCUUUCUGGACUGACACUGACGCUGAGGCUCGAAAGCGUGGGGAGCAAACAGGAUUAGAUACCCGUGUAGUCC
Molecule: ribosomal RNA, 428 nt
Filed under: uncultured bacterium
Lineage: Bacteria
Description: partial 16S ribosomal RNA
Rfam family: Bacterial small subunit ribosomal RNA
Source: RNAcentral